AGCGAACGCUGGCGGCAUGCCUAACACAUGCAAGUCGCACGGGGGGGCUUCGGCCUCCCAGUGGCGGACGGGUGAGGAACGCGUAGGGACCUGUCGAGGGGUGGGGGAUAACCGCGGGAAACUGCGGCUAAUACCGCAUGACGCCGCGGCGUGACAGCCGGGGCCAAAGGCGAAAGCCGCCCGCCGAGGGGCCUGCGUCCGAUUAGCUGGUUGGCGGGGUAGCGGCCCACCAAGGCGUCGAUCGGUAGCUGGUCUGAGAGGGUGAUCAGCCACACCGGGACUGAGACACGGCCCGGACUCCUACGGGAGGCAGCAGUGGGGAAUAUUGGACAAUGGGCGCAAGCCUGAUCCAGCAAUGCCGCGUGGGUGAAGAAGGUCUUCGGAUUGUAAAGCCCUUUCGGCGGGGACGAUGGUGACGGUACCCGCAGAAGAAGCCCCGGUUAACUUCGUG
Molecule: ribosomal RNA, 451 nt
Filed under: uncultured bacterium
Lineage: Bacteria
Description: partial 16S ribosomal RNA
Rfam family: Bacterial small subunit ribosomal RNA
Source: RNAcentral